Molecule: ribosomal RNA, 270 nt
Filed under: uncultured bacterium
Lineage: Bacteria
Description: partial 16S ribosomal RNA
Rfam family: Bacterial small subunit ribosomal RNA
Source: RNAcentral
AAUCAACGCUGGCGGCGCGCUUAACACAUGCAAGUCGCACGAGAAAGCAGGAGCAAUCCUGUGAGUAAAGUGGCGUACGGGUGAGUAACACGUGGAUCAUCUACCUUCUAGUGGGGAAUACCCCCUGGGAAACCGGGGACAAUACCGCAUAAGCUCGAGAGAGGAAAGCAGAAAUGCGCUGGAAGAGGAGUCCGCGGCCGAUUAGCUAGUUGGCGGGGUAAAAGCCCACCAAGGCGAAGAUCGGUAGCCGGCCUGAGAGGGCACACGGCC